CAAUAGCGUAUAUUUAAGUUGUUGCAGUUAAAAAGCUCGUAGUUGGAUUUCGGGUGGGACGCAGCGGUCUCGCAUUGCGUUUGUACUGCUGCAGCCCUCCUUCUUGCCGGGGGCGGCCUCUCGGACUUCACUGUCUGGGGGUCAGAAUCGGCGAUGUUACUUUGAGUAAAUUAGAGUGUUCAAAGCAAGCUUACGCUCUGAAUAUAACAGCAUGGGAUAACACGACAGGACUCUGGCCUAUCGUGUUGGUCUAUAGGACCAGAGUAAUGAUUAAGAGGGACAGUCGGGGGCAUUCGUAUUCCGUUGUCAGAGGUGAAAUUCUUGGAUUUACGGAAGACGAACAUCUGCGAAAGCAUUUGCCAAGGAUGUUUUCAUUGA
Molecule: ribosomal RNA, 378 nt
Filed under: uncultured eukaryote
Lineage: Eukaryota
Description: partial 18S ribosomal RNA
Rfam family: Eukaryotic small subunit ribosomal RNA
Source: RNAcentral